This 143-nucleotide ribosomal RNA is filed under the name Pleurotus cystidiosus. RNAcentral describes it as "5.8S ribosomal RNA". It matches the Rfam family "5.8S ribosomal RNA". Rfam says of the family: 5.8S ribosomal RNA (5.8S rRNA) is a component of the large subunit of the eukaryotic ribosome. It is transcribed by RNA polymerase I as part of the 45S precursor that also contains 18S and 28S rRNA. Functionally, it is thought that 5.8S rRNA may be involved in ribosome translocation. The record is from RNAcentral. Lineage: Eukaryota; Fungi; Basidiomycota; Agaricomycetes; Agaricales; Pleurotaceae. RNAcentral also lists the same sequence under 1 other name.
ACUUUCAACAACGGAUCUCUUGGCUCUCGCAUCGAUGAAGAACGCAGCGAAAUGCGAUAAGUAAUGUGAAUUGCAGAAUUCAGUGAAUCAUCGAAUCUUUGAACGCACCUUGCGCCCCUUGGUAUUCCGAGGGGCAUGCCUGU